GGAGUACGGCCGCAAGGUUAAAACUCAAAUGAAUUGACGGGGGCCCGCACAAGCGGUGGAGCAUGUGGUUUAAUUCGAUGCAACGCGAAGAACCUUACCUACUCUUGACAUCCAGAGAACUUAGCAGAGAUGCUUUGGUGCCUUCGGGAACUCUGAGACAGGUGCUGCAUGGCUGUCGUCAGCUCGUGUUGUGAAAUGUUGGGUUAAGUCCCGCAACGAGCGCAACCCUUAUCCUUUGUUGCCAGCGAUUCGGUCGGGAACUCAAAGGAGACUGCCAGUGAUAAACUGGAGGAAGGUGGGGAUGACGUCAAGUCAUCAUGGCCCUUACGAGUAGGGCUACACACGUGCUACAAUGGCAUAUACAAAGAGAAGCGACCUCGCGAGAGCAAGCGGACCUCAUAAAGUAUGUCGUAGUCCGGAUUGGAGUCUGCAACUCGACUCCAUGAAGUCGGAAUCGCUAGUAAUCGUAGAUCAGAAUGCUACGGUGAAUACGUUCCCGGGCCUUGUACACACCGCCCGUCACACCAUGGGAGUGGGUUGCAAAAGAAGUAGGUAGCUUAACCUUCGGGAGGGCGCUUACCACUUUGUGAUUCAUGACUGGGGUGAAGUCGUAACAAGGUAACCGUAGGGGAACCUGCGGUUGGAUCACCUCCUUACCUGAAAGAA
RNAcentral lists this ribosomal RNA (666 nucleotides) under Klebsiella ornithinolytica. Its description in RNAcentral is "bacterial SSU rRNA". It matches the Rfam family "Bacterial small subunit ribosomal RNA", at positions 877 to 1533 of the family's 1533-position model. Lineage: Bacteria; Pseudomonadati; Pseudomonadota; Gammaproteobacteria; Enterobacterales; Enterobacteriaceae. The record is from RNAcentral.